UAUACCUGCGCGGGUUCAGCCCAUCACUUCUGUCUUUCUGGCCUCCAAGGAAGGGCUACCCCGUUCUGCUUCCAAGGAAGCAUAAGAUGCUCAGAAGACAGAGUAUAGCCUAAGAGGGCUAAGGUACUCCAUUCACUUCACAAAACCAAACCUCAAAAGUAAAGAAAUCAAGGCUCCAUUAGAGAUCUUAAAGUCAGGGAAGCUCUC
This 207-nucleotide long non-coding RNA is filed under the name Felis catus (domestic cat). RNAcentral describes it as "lncRNA (ENSFCAG00000050092.1)". The record is from RNAcentral. Lineage: Eukaryota; Metazoa; Chordata; Mammalia; Carnivora; Felidae.